CAGAAACUAUGCAAGUUCCAAGAGCAUUCUUUGAGAACAAGUGGCGACGGGAAUGGGUCCGGAGAGAGUCACACAAUGUUUCUCCAGAGAUAUCUGUAUCAGGAAGUAAAGGCAGGAUUUGCAUCCUGUUACAUACCUGUAAAGUGCAACACCACACCACACUUUGUACGAAGCAGUGAAAGAAGCAUGUCAUUUUCUGAUUGAGAAAUUCAAGAACCUGAAUUACAAGCAUCACAACAAUGAAAGUUCAGAAAUGGAGUCCAUCCCAAGUGUUUGUGACUGUAUUGAGUUUUGAUACAGAGGGGCAGAAGGGCAAGAA
Molecule: long non-coding RNA, 319 nt
Organism: Haliotis rubra (blacklip abalone)
Lineage: Eukaryota; Metazoa; Mollusca; Gastropoda; Lepetellida; Haliotidae
Exons: 3
Source: RefSeq, a predicted model, not a curated record